This 196-nucleotide unclassified non-coding RNA is filed under the name uncultured Polyporales. RNAcentral's name for it is "sequence contains ITS1". The record is from RNAcentral. Lineage: Eukaryota; Fungi; Basidiomycota; Agaricomycetes; Polyporales.
UUGAAUAAAAACCGAGUGGGGUUGUUGCUGGCCUCUGGCAUGUGCACACCUCAUUUCGUGUCCAUCUUCACACCUCUGUGCACUUCUCAUGGGUUGGGUUGCGUCUGAAAUAUUGACGAGACCCUGCCUGUGUGUCUUCACCACAUACUAUUGUUUGUAUCAGAAUGUUAUCACUGUGCAUGAAUGCAUAUAAAUA